RNAcentral lists this long non-coding RNA (933 nucleotides) under Gallus gallus (chicken). RNAcentral describes it as "lncRNA (ENSGALG00010000397.1)". The record is from RNAcentral. Lineage: Eukaryota; Metazoa; Chordata; Aves; Galliformes; Phasianidae.
CCCCCUCACUUUGGGGUCGUCCCCCCCCCCCCCUCCUCCCUCCACCUCCUCAUGAAGCGCAGUUUGGGGGGUCCCCCCCCGACCCCCCCCCCUCCUCCCUCCUCCUCCCCCCCCCCUCCAGAGGGUGGGCGGGGAUGGGGGGGCGGGGGGGGGGCGGCGGCGUCGUCCUCAUCGCUGAGGUCGGUGACCUCCACUUCCUCCGAGUCCACUUCCGGUGGGGUGGGGGGAGGGGUGGACCCCCCCGGGCCAGCCGAGGGGUGCACGUGACCGGAAGCGACCCCGUGGCCGGAAGGAAGCCCCGGACCGGAAGUGACCCCUCGACCGGAAGCGACCCCGGGGCUGACGUUCCCGCGACCCGGAGCGACCCCGUCGCCUUCGCCCCCGCCGUGACCUGAGGUGACCCCUUGACCUGAGGUGACCCCAUGACCUGCAGUAACCCCGGGAGCCUCUCCUUGACCCGAAGUGACCCCAUGACCGGAAGUAACCCCACCAGCCUCAUUCUGACCUGAAGUGACCUCGCGACCCGCAGUAACCCCAUGACCGGAAGUAACCGCGUGACCGGAAGUACCCCCGUGACCCGAAGUAACCCCACCUCCCUCUCCUUUCCCCCUCCCCCUCCUCCCGGGCGGGGGGGGCUGCAACUUAAAGGCGAAGGGGGGGGGAGGGGGGGUCGGGGGGGGGUCCCGAUGGGGGUCCCGAUGGGGGUGGGGGGGGGGGCGGGGGGGGGGAGGGGCCAAAAAGGGGCGGGGGCUGAGAUGGUACGCGCACACCCGGGCGGCCAAACAGCGCGCCAGGUCUUCCGCACUGAAGGAGAAGUGGGGGGACCCCCCCCCACCGCCGCCCCCCCCCCCCGAAGUGGGGAGACCCCCCCGAGCCGAAGUGGGGCGACCCCCCCCCCGAAAUGAGGCGAUCCCCCCCCGAAGUGCGGAGAGC